AUAGAGCAACAGCUUCUAUGCAGUUUCUUGUUAGCCCCGGUAAUCUUCUCUUAGUCGCCAAACCUGGUGAAGAUUAUCGGGGUUUUUGCUU
This 91-nucleotide antisense RNA is filed under the name Escherichia coli. RNAcentral's name for it is "CopA-like RNA". It matches the Rfam family "CopA-like RNA". From Rfam's summary of the family: In several groups of bacterial plasmids, antisense RNAs regulate copy number through inhibition of replication initiator protein synthesis. These RNAs are characterised by a long hairpin structure interrupted by several unpaired residues or bulged loops. Lineage: Bacteria; Pseudomonadati; Pseudomonadota; Gammaproteobacteria; Enterobacterales; Enterobacteriaceae. The record is from RNAcentral. RNAcentral also lists the same sequence under 12 other names.